AGCCAAAAUAUUUAAUUUAAUUUACAAUAACAAGAGGGUCCCCGAAUAAACAAAAGUAAAGAGGACUGUGAACCUACGGUUUGGAAAAUGCAGAUCCCACUGUAGUCCUCGAUGAGAUCAGCUAUCUACAGUCUAUACUGAACCUGAAAUGGGUAGAAAUGAGGGUGGUGAGAUUAUAAAAUCCCAAUGAGUAAAUAGACAUCAUCAUAAACAUCUAGAGUUGAGUACAUGGAGACAAUAAAGUAAAUCAUCAUAAACUGGGUUAUACAAUUAUAACACAUCUCGCUCAAAAUACGUAAAAAGGUUUAUGAAUCUCAUAAACAUUUAGGCUUGUGCCAUAAAUCCAUUCUCGGGGACACCUUGGCCAAGGCAUCCUACCGAGACCGCCAAGGCUAUUAAAAUUCACAUUUCACAUAAAUCAUGCUUUUGUUUGGAAAACAUAGCAAUUCCUUGGCGUUGACUGAGUUACCCAUCACGUCGUGGUUUAGCGUGAAGUGAACCCUAAACUUUACCCAGGAGAUACCCUACGCACCUCUCCGUUCGAGGUAAGAAUAUAAUGGGGUUUACCGUGCCCCUCUAAAAGGCUGGUCCACAUAAACCCCCUACUGCAGUGAUUAAUUAAUAUAUAAUCCACCGUAUAAUAAAACUCAAUAACAUGAUAUGGCAAUUUUGAAAUUCGCAGUUUUUCAAGGCAACCAAACAAUUCGCAUUUCAAUACAAUUGCCAACUAGCCAAUCAUGCUCGAUUUAUCAUAAAUCAGUCAAUUUAAACAAUCAAAUUGCCACAAUUAACAGUCUCCGUGUACUCUAUUUUUCAAAAUCACUAUUAAUUUCAAAACAAUUUAUAAUUUAAUUUCAUUGAAACUCAUUUAUUCAUAAAACAUGAAAAUUUAUCUUUUUAAAUUCCUUUUUCCAUAGAAUUCAUGAAAGCAUCUAAAAACCACCCUAGAUAAUUAAAAUGACAGUAAGUUUACUCACAAUGUCUAGAAUGCAGACUUUCGAAGCACUCUGUCUACUGGUCCUCGGAUGCAAUUUCCUUGCCUUUAUCGGAGGACUCACCACCUUGACACAGUACAAAAUCGAGAGUUUCACCAAGUUGGUACUAAAUCAAAAUUAAACUAAUUUAGACUACCAAUGCAUGAUAUGGAAUGCAAAAAUGCACUGGUAACUAUCUAAACCCGGUAUUGGCCUAAUUCGUCUUAUCACCCGAUUAAAUUCCUAACGGGUCCGUUUAAACUCCAAUUUAAUUCUUUUCAGUUUCUAUACCUCAAUUGCACCCAAAUUAACUUAAUGUCCCUCAGUGUGGUGCAAAUUAUCAGUCCCAACAGCAAAUUACGAAAAUACCCCUAGUGGGUAAAAAUUCGUAUUUUUGCUCCGAAAAUUCCCAUUAUUUUUCUAGGCUCAUAAUUCAUUAUUCCUUAACCAAUUCUCCUAGAAUAAAAUCAAACUCAUCCUCACUCACUACAUGGUAAAUUCAGCCAUUAAUGGUUGGGGGAGAAAAUAAAUUCUUUUCUUGUUGUUUUGUUUCUAAAUAUGCUAAACUAACUAAAAACACUAACAUAAAUUAAAAUCAAAUAAAUCCAACAACUUUCUCUCUCCUAACCCAUUUUUUCAGAAUUGAAUUCAUCAUGAAAACAUGUAAUUUAAUCAUGGAAAAUAAAGAGAAAUGCUUGGGAAUAAGAAAACUCAAGCUUAAUAGAAAAAAUCUCACAUUUUUCACUUAAUUUCCUUGAAAAUUCACACUUUUUCUUUGACUUUCUCUCUCUAGGUUUUUGUUUUUGUUUUCUCUCUCUUCUUGCUGGUUUG
This 1805-nucleotide long non-coding RNA is filed under the name Theobroma cacao (cacao). Its description in RNAcentral is "long non-coding RNA (TCAC_LNC002530)". The record is from RNAcentral. Lineage: Eukaryota; Viridiplantae; Streptophyta; Magnoliopsida; Malvales; Malvaceae.